GGUUAAGCGACUAAGCGUACACGGUGGAUGCCCUGGCAGUCAGAGGCGAUGAAGGACGUGCUAAUCUGCGAAAAGCGCCGGCGAGGUGAUAUGAACCCUUGACCCGGCGAUGUCCGAAUGGGGAAACCCAGUGCAAUCCGUUGCACUAUCGUUAACUGAAUACAUAGGUUAACGAGGCGAACCGGGGGAACUGAAACAUCUAAGUACCCCGAGGAAAAGAAAUCAACCGAGAUUCCCCCAGUAGCGGCGAGCGAACGGGGAGCAGCCCAGAGUCUGAAUCAGCUUGUGUGUUAGUGGAAGCGUCUGGAAAGUCGCACGGUACAGGGUGAAAGUCCCGUACACGAAAAUGCACAGGCUGUGAACUCGAAGAGUAGGGCGGGACACGUGGUAUCCUGUCUGAAUAUGGGGGGACCAUCCUCCAAGGCUAAAUACUCCUGACUGACCGAUAGUGAACCAGUACCGUGAGGGAAAGGCGAAAAGAACCCCGGCGAGGGGAGUGAAAAAGAACCUGAAACCGUGUACGUACAAGCAGUGGGAGCACCUUCGUGGUGUGACUGCGUACCUUUUGUAUAAUGGGUCAGCGACUUAUAUUCUGUAGCAAGGUUAACCGUAUAGGGGAGCCGAAGGGAAACCGAGUCUUAACUGGGCGUUAAGUUGCAGGGUAUAGACCCGAAACCCGGUGAUCUAGCCAUGGGCAGGUUGAAGGUUGGGUAACACUAACUGGAGGACCGAACCGACUAAUGUUGAAAAAUUAGCGGAUGACCUGUGGCUGGGGGUGAAAGGCCAAUCAAACCGGGAGAUAGCUGGUUCUCCCCGAAAGCUAUUUAGGUAGCGCCUCGUGAACUCAUCUUCGGGGGUAGAGCACUGUUUCGGCUAGGGGGCCAUCCCGGCUUACCAACCCGAUGCAAACUACGAAUACCGAAGAAUGUUAUCACGGGAGACACACGGCGGGUGCUAACGUCCGUCGUGAAGAGGGAAACAACCCAGACCGCCAGCUAAGGUCCCAAAGUCAUGGUUAAGUGGGAAACGAUGUGGGAAGGCCCAGACAGCCAGGAUGUUGGCUUAGAAGCAGCCAUCAUUUAAAGAAAGCGUAAUAGCUCACUGGUCGAGUCGGCCUGCGCGGAAGAUGUAACGGGGCUAAACCAUGCACCGAAGCUGCGGCAGCGACACUAUGUGUUGUUGGGUAGGGGAGCGUUCUGUAAGCUGUUGAAGGUGGCCUGUGAGGGUUGCUGGAGGUAUCAGAAGUGCGAAUGCUGACAUAAGUAACGAUAAAGCGGGUGAAAAGCCCGCUCGCCGGAAGACCAAGGGUUCCUGUCCAACGUUAAUCGGGGCAGGGUGAGUCGACCCCUAAGGCGAGGCCGAAAGGCGUAGUCGAUGGGAAACAGGUUAAUAUUCCUGUACUUGGUGUUACUGCGAAGGGGGGACGGAGAAGGCUAUGUUAGCCGGGCGACGGUUGUCCCGGUUUAAGCAUGUAGGCGGAGGUUCCAGGUAAAUCCGGUACCUUUUAACGCUGAGGUGUGAUGACGAGGCACUACGGUGCUGAAGUAACAAAUGCCCUGCUUCCAGGAAAAGCCUCUAAGCAUCAGGUAACACGAAAUCGUACCCCAAACCGACACAGGUGGUCAGGUAGAGAAUACCAAGGCGCUUGAGAGAACUCGGGUGAAGGAACUAGGCAAAAUGGUGCCGUAACUUCGGGAGAAGGCACGCUGAUAUGUAGGUGAAGCCCCUGCGGGUGGAGCUGAAAUCAGUCGAAGAUACCAGCUGGCUGCAACUGUUUAUUAAAAACACAGCACUGUGCAAACACGAAAGUGGACGUAUACGGUGUGACGCCUGCCCGGUGCCGGAAGGUUAAUUGAUGGGGUUAGCGGUAACGCGAAGCUCUUGAUCGAAGCCCCGGUAAACGGCGGCCGUAACUAUAACGGUCCUAAGGUAGCGAAAUUCCUUGUCGGGUAAGUUCCGACCUGCACGAAUGGCGUAAUGAUGGCCAGGCUGUCUCCACCCGAGACUCAGUGAAAUUGAACUCGCUGUGAAGAUGCAGUGUACCCGCGGCAAGACGGAAAGACCCCGUGAACCUUUACUAUAGCUUGACACUGAACACUGGUCCUUGAUGUGUAGGAUAGGUGGGAGGCUUUGAAGCGUGGACGCCAGUCUGCGUGGAGCCGUCCUUGAAAUACCACCCUUUAAUGGCUGGUGUUCUAACGUAGACCCGUAAUCCGGGUUGCGGACAGUGUCUGGUAGGUAGUUUGACUGGGGCGGUCUCCUCCCAAAGAGUAACGGAGGAGCACGAAGGUUAGCUAAUCCUGGUCGGACAUCAGGAGGUUAGUGCAAUGGCAUAAGCUAGCUUGACUGCGAGAGUGACGGCUCGAGCAGGUGCGAAAGCAGGUCAUAGUGAUCCGGUGGUUCUGAAUGGAAGGGCCAUCGCUCAACGGAUAAAAGGUACUCCGGGGAUAACAGGCUGAUACCGCCCAAGAGUUCAUAUCGACGGCGGUGUUUGGCACCUCGAUGUCGGCUCAUCACAUCCUGGGGCUGAAGUAGGUCCCAAGGGUAUGGCUGUUCGCCAUUUAAAGUGGUACGCGAGCUGGGUUUAGAACGUCGUGAGACAGUUCGGUCCCUAUCUGCCGUGGGCGCUGGAGAAUUGAGGGGGGCUGCUCCUAGUACGAGAGGACCGGAGUGGACGCAUCACUGGUGUUCGGGUUGUCAUGCCAAUGGCACUGCCCGGUAGCUAAAUGCGGAAGAGAUAAGUGCUGAAAGCAUCUAAGCACGAAACUUGCCCCGAGAUGAGUUCUCCCUGAGACUUAAAGUCUCCUGAAGGAACGUUGAAGACGACGACGUUGAUAGGUCGGGUGUGUAAGCGCAGCGAUGCGUUGAGCUAACCGAUACUAAUGAACCGUGAGGCUUAACCUU
This 2904-nucleotide ribosomal RNA is filed under the name Enterobacter cloacae. RNAcentral describes it as "23S ribosomal RNA". It matches the Rfam family "Bacterial large subunit ribosomal RNA". Lineage: Bacteria; Pseudomonadati; Pseudomonadota; Gammaproteobacteria; Enterobacterales; Enterobacteriaceae. The record is from RNAcentral.